UACGUAGGGUGCGAGCGUUGUCCGGAAUUAUUGGGCGUAAAGGGCUCGUAGGCGGUUUGUCGCGUCGGGAGUGAAAUCCACUGGCUUAACUGGUGGCUUGCUUUCCAUACGGGCAGACUGGAGGUAUGCAGGGGAGAACGGAAUUCCUGGUGUAGCGGUGAAAUGCGCAGAUAUCAGGAGGAACACCGGUGGCGAAGGCGGUUCUCUGGGCAUGUCCUGACGCUGAGGAGCGAAAGUGUGGGGAGCGAACAGG
Molecule: ribosomal RNA, 253 nt
Filed under: uncultured bacterium
Lineage: Bacteria
Description: partial 16S ribosomal RNA
Rfam family: Bacterial small subunit ribosomal RNA
Source: RNAcentral